ACCUUUUGGGCAAUGAGCAAAGAGACACCUUGUUGGUGGUGGUGUUCUUCUAUCAGUCAGAGGCAGAGCAAAUGGCCUCACUUUGCUCAUCCUAGCUCGACGCCUGACUUGGUGGCCAAAGCUGUCUUAUGCUUAGGACUCAUAA
Molecule: small nucleolar RNA, 145 nt
Organism: Psammomys obesus (fat sand rat)
Lineage: Eukaryota; Metazoa; Chordata; Mammalia; Rodentia; Muridae
Product: small nucleolar RNA SNORA48
Exons: 1
Source: RefSeq, a predicted model, not a curated record